AUGGACGCUUCUCCCACCGCCGCUGCCCGCCGCGCGGCGGCGAUCGCCCGCCACCUCGCUGGCCUCCCCUCCGGUGCCGCCGCCGCCGUGGCGGGGCUGCAGUUUUCCCCGUGCCUGAGCUACGCGCCCCCGGAAUCGUCCGAGGCCCCGCCGGCGUUCGCGCCGAUGGAGCUUCGUGCGCUCCUCGACGGGCACCACCUGCGGGAGCGCGACUGGGCGUACGGCGCGAUGGAGGAGAGCCCGCUCUUCUGCCCCCGCCGUGCCGGCGGCAAGGUGUUCGUGUCGCCGGACUACAACGAGGGGAAGGAAGGGCAGAGGGAGGCCACCAUGCGCCGGAUCGGGUACCUCACGCGCCGGGGUGUGUUCCGUGGCUGGCUCACGGAGCCAGGGCCCGACGCCGAGCUUCGCAAGCUCGCGCUGCUCGAGUGCCUCGGCGUCUACGACCACUCCCUCGCCAUCAAGGUCGGCGUCCAUUUCUUCCUCUGGGGAGGCGCUGUCAAGUUUCUUGGAACGAAGCGCCAUCACGACAAAUGGUUGUUGGACACAGAAAACUAUGUUAUCAAAGGUUGUUUUGCAAUGACAGAAUUGGGUCAUGGGAGCAAUGUACGAGGAAUUGAGACAGUAGCAACUUAUGAUUCCAAAACAGGAGAGUUUGUGAUAAAUACUCCCUGCGAGUCAGCUCAGAAGUACUGGAUUGGUGGAGCUGCUAAUCAUGCUACACAUACAAUAGUCUUUGCUCAGCUCCAUAUAAAUGGAAGAAAUGAAGGAGUCCACGCUUUCAUAGCUCAGAUCAGGGAUCAAGAUGAAAAUGUGUUGCCUAAUAUCCAUAUAGCUGACUGUGGCCAUAAGAUUGGACUAAAUGGUGUUGAUAAUGGUCGGAUUUGGUUUAACAAUAUACGUGUUCCUCGAGAGAAUUUGCUGAAUCUGGUUGCUGAUGUUUUGCCAGAUGGGAAAUAUGUUAGCAUGAUAGAUAACCCAGAUCAGAGGUUUGCAGCAUUUUUGUCCCCUCUUACUCUUGGCCGGGUAAAUAUUGCAGUUAACGCGGUUUAUAUUUCAAAGGUAGGCCUAGCAAUUGCUGUGAGAUAUGCUUUGUCAAGGAGGGCCUUUUCAAUUACACCAGAUGGUCCUGAAAUGCUGUUACUUGAUUAUCCCAGUCACCAGAGGCGCCUCCUACCUUUGCUUGCAAAAGUAUGUAUGAUGAGCAGUGCUAGUAAUUUUAUGAAAAAUAUGUAUGUGAAAAGAACACCUGAAAUUAGUAAAGCGAUACAUGUUUACUCUAGUGCUCUGAAGGCUACAUUAACCUGGCAGAAUAUGACCACGCUUCAGGAGUGUCGUGAGGCCUGUGGUGGCCAAGGUUUAAAGACCGAGAAUCGCGUUGGAAUUUUCAAAGCCGAAUUUGAUGUUCAGUCUACAUUUGAGGGUGACAAUAAUGUUCUACUCCAGCAGGUAAGCAAAGCCCUAUACGCUGAAUUUUUAACGACGCAAAGGAAGAAGAAGUCAUUCAAGGGAUUGGGAUUGGAACAUCUGAAUGGUCCUUGCCCUGUUAUUCCCCAUAGUCUGACAAGUGACAUAUUAAGGAGCUCCAAGUUCCAGAUGGAUUUGUUCUGCUUGAGGGAGCGGGAUUUACUGAAACAGUUCGCAGAGGAGGUAGCUCGCCAUCUGGCACAAGGGGAAAGCAGAGAAAAGGCUCUGAUGCUGAGCUACCAAAUUGCUGAAGACUUAGCUAGAGCAUUUACUGAGCGCACAAUUUUGCAAAUAUUUUUGGAGGACGAGAUGAAUGCUCCUGCUGGGUCUUUAAAGGAUGUAUUGGGGUUACUGAGGUCUAUGUAUGUUAUGGUGUGCAUAGAUGAAUCUGCAUCUUUUCUGAGAUAUGGUUAUUUGUCGCGGAACAAUGUAACCACCGUGAGGAAAGAAGUCAUGAUACUGUGCAGUGAACUCAGGCCCCAUGCGCUUGCUAUUGUUGGUUCUUUCGGAAUCCCUGAUGCCUUCCUCAGUCCACUUGCUUUCGACUGGAUCGAAGCAAAUGCUCGAUCUUCCGGGAGAGAAUGA
This 2049-nucleotide ribosomal RNA is filed under the name Triticum aestivum (bread wheat). RNAcentral's name for it is "partial small subunit ribosomal RNA". Lineage: Eukaryota; Viridiplantae; Streptophyta; Magnoliopsida; Poales; Poaceae. The record is from RNAcentral.